This 593-nucleotide ribosomal RNA is filed under the name dothideomycete sp. 7689. RNAcentral describes it as "eukaryotic LSU rRNA". The stretch from base 228 to 381 matches the Rfam family "5.8S ribosomal RNA". The record is from RNAcentral. Lineage: Eukaryota; Fungi; Ascomycota; Dothideomycetes.
GUUCUUGGUCAUUUAGAGGAAGUAAAAGUCGUAACAAGGUCUCCGUAGGUGAACCUGCGGAGGGAUCAUUACAAGUGACCCCGGUCUAACCACCGGGAUGUUCAUAACCCUUUGUUGUCCGACUCUGUUGCCUCCGGGGCGACCCUGCCUUCGGGCGGGGGCUCCGGGUGGACACUUCAAACUCUUGCGUAACUUUGCAGUCUGAGUAAACUUAAUUAAUAAAUUAAAACUUUUAACAACGGAUCUCUUGGUUCUGGCAUCGAUGAAGAACGCAGCGAAAUGCGAUAAGUAAUGUGAAUUGCAGAAUUCAGUGAAUCAUCGAAUCUUUGAACGCACAUUGCGCCCCCUGGUAUUCCGGGGGGCAUGCCUGUUCGAGCGUCAUUUCACCACUCAAGCCUCGCUUGGUAUUGGGCAUCGCGGUCCGCCGCGUGCCUCAAAUCGACCGGCUGGGUCUUCUGUCCCCUAAGCGUUGUGGAAACUAUUCGCUAAAGGGUGUUCGGGAGGCUACGCCGUAAAACAACACCAUUUCUAAGGUUGACCUCGGAUCAGGUAGGGAUACCCGCUGAACUUAAGCAUAUCAAUAAGCGGAGGAA